Molecule: unclassified non-coding RNA, 341 nt
Filed under: uncultured Glomeraceae
Lineage: Eukaryota; Fungi; Glomeromycota; Glomeromycetes; Glomerales; Glomeraceae
Description: sequence contains ITS1
Rfam family: 5.8S ribosomal RNA (bases 1-102)
Source: RNAcentral
GAAGUGCGAUUAGUUUGAAUUGUAGAAUUCCGUGGAUCAUCGAAUUUUUGAACGCAAAUUGCACUCUCUGGUAUUCCGGAGAGUAUGCCUGUUUGAGAGUCAUUAAAUAAAAAAUCGAUUUUGUUACUUGUCGUAACAUUUCGGAAUUGAGUGAUCUUAAAUCUUCAGGUUUAAGAGGUUAAAAUUGAUCAUUUUUGGUAUGAUUUAAGCGUAUUUAAGAUCUCUUAUCACGCGCUUGAUGAGUAUCGGAUGUUUAUUAGGCAUGACCAUGAUCAUGGUUUCUCGCCUAUAAUCUUUCAUGAAAUGACCUCAAAUCAGGUAGGAUUACCCGCUGAACUUAA